GACGAACGCUGGCGGCGUGCUUAACACAUGCAAGUCGAGCGGUAAGGCCCUUUCGGGGGUACGACGAGCGGCGAACGGGUGAGUAACACGUGGGUGACCUGCCCUCAGCUCUGGGAUAAGCCUGGGAAACCGGGUCUAAUACCGGAUAUGACUCCAUGACGCAUGUUGUGGGGUGGAAAGCCUUGUGCGGCUGAGGAUGGGCCCGCGGCCUAUCAGCUUGUUGGUGGGGUGAGGCCUACCAAGGCGACGACGGGUAGCCGGCCUGAGAGGGCGACCGGCCACACUGGGACUGAGACACGGCCCAGACUCCUACGGGAGGCAGCAGUGGGGAAUCUUGCGCAAUGGGCGAAAGCCUGACGCAGCGACGCCGCGUGAGGGAUGACGGCC
This 387-nucleotide ribosomal RNA is filed under the name uncultured bacterium. RNAcentral's name for it is "bacterial SSU rRNA". It matches the Rfam family "Bacterial small subunit ribosomal RNA", at positions 28 to 416 of the family's 1533-position model. The record is from RNAcentral.